Molecule: ribosomal RNA, 468 nt
Filed under: uncultured bacterium
Lineage: Bacteria
Description: partial 16S ribosomal RNA
Rfam family: Bacterial small subunit ribosomal RNA
Source: RNAcentral
GACGAACGCUGGCGGCGUGCUUAACACAUGCAAGUCGAACGGAAAGGCCCUGCUUUUGUGGGGUGCUCGAGUGGCGAACGGGUGAGUAACACGUGAGUAACCUGCCCUUGACUUUGGGAUAACUUCAGGAAACUGGGGCUAAUACCGGAUAGGAGCUCCUGCUGCAUGGUGGGGGUUGGAAAGUUUCGGCGGUUGGGGAUGGACUCGCGGCUUAUCAGCUUGUUGGUGGGGUAGUGGCUUACCAAGGCUUUGACGGGUAGCCGGCCUGAGAGGGUGACCGGACACAUUGGGACUGAGAUACGGCACAGACUCCUACGGGAGGCAGCAGUGGGGAAGAUUGCACAAUGGGCGGAAGCCUGAUGCAGCAACGCCGCGUGCGGGAUGACGGCAUUCGGGUUGUAAACCGCUUUCGCCUGAGACGAAGCGUGAGUGACGGUAAUGGGUAAAGAAGCACCGGCUAACUACGUG